ACCAUGAGGGUGGAACCAUGAUGAUGGAUCCAUGAGGAUGGAACCAUGAGGAUGGAACCAUGAGGGUGGAACCAUGAGGGUGGUACCAUGAGGGUGGAACCAUGAUGAUGGAACCAUGAGGGUGGUACCAAGGGAAUGGAACCAUGAUGAUGGAUCCAUGAGGAUGGAACAAUGGGGAUGGAUCCAUGAGGCAGCCUGAGGUUAGAUCUUCAACACUACUGACCAAACACCAUCACUCUGGCCCUAGCAUGUGUGUGUUAACGUGUUUUAACGUGUGUGUGUGUGUGUGUGUGUGUGUGUGUGUGUGUGUGUGUGUGUGUGUGUGUGUGUGUGUGUGUGGUAUCGUGGUGUGAAAAAUAAUUGUUACUUUUUUUGCAAUUUAAAAACGAUUAAAAGUUGCCGGGGACAACAUUUCCCUGGACCCUAGGCUACUGAAAAUGUUCCCGGACCCUAGGCUACUGAAAAUGUUCCCGGACCCUAGGCUACUGAAAAUGUUCCCGGACCCUAGGCUACUGAAAAUGUUCCCGGACCCUAGGCUACUGAAAAUGUUCCCAGACCCUAGGCUACUGAAAAUGUUCCCAGACCCUAGGCUACUGAAAAGGUUCCCAGACCCUAGGCUACUGAAAAUGUUCCCAGACCCUAGGCUACUGAAAAUGUUCCCAGACCCUAGGCUACUGAAAAUGUUCCCAGACCCUAGGCUACUGAAAAUGUUCCCAGACCCUAGGCUACUGAAAAGGCUACUGAAAAUGUUCCCAGACCCUCGGCUACUGAAAAUGUUCCCUGACCCUAGGCUACUGAAAAUGUUCCCCGGACCCUAGGCUACUGAAAAUGUUCCCCGGACCCUCCGAUUUACAAAUUAAUCAGUGUGUGUGUGUGUGUGUGUGUGUGUGUGUGUGUGUGUGUGUGUGUGUGUGUGUGUGUGUGUGUGUGUGUGUGUGUGUGUUUGGGCAGAUUAGAAGUGUUGGGUCCUUCCUGGUAUGAAAAAGGGUGAAAGGUCACGAACCCGGGUUUGGGCAGAAUAGAAGCGUUGGUUUCUAUUAUUGAUGUUACUAUGUGGACCGGACUGGGUCUGUGUUUUUUAUUUUAUUUACCACAACUAGAACCCGUGGAACCGUCUAGACGUGUUGUUUCCUUGUGAUGAGAUUGCUGUGGAACAGGAUUAUUAUUAUUAUUGUUAUUGUUAUUAUUAUUAUGCAUCUGAUCAUCUAUUACUCUAAAUGACGACGAGCAAUAAAGUUGAGAUCCUUUUUCAAAUAUAUAUAUUGCAUGUUUUACUAAAAACGUUGGUCUUAGUCAAUAAAAAGAGUUUUUAAGACA
Molecule: long non-coding RNA, 1317 nt
Organism: Oncorhynchus tshawytscha (Chinook salmon)
Lineage: Eukaryota; Metazoa; Chordata; Actinopteri; Salmoniformes; Salmonidae
Source: Ensembl